RNAcentral lists this small RNA (1263 nucleotides) under Pan troglodytes (chimpanzee). RNAcentral's name for it is "processed transcript". The record is from RNAcentral. Lineage: Eukaryota; Metazoa; Chordata; Mammalia; Primates; Hominidae.
CGCGCCUCUGCGUGCGUGCGUGCGCGGCCCGGCAGAGUCGUGCGGGCGCCCGCGUACUCACUAGCUGAGGUGGCAGUGGCUCCACCAACAUGGAGCUCUCGCAGAUGUCGGAGCUCAUGGGGCUGUCGGUGUUGCUUGGGCUGCUGGCCCUGAUGGCGACGGCGGCGGUAGCGCGGGGGUGGCUGCGCGCGGGGGAGGAGAGGAGCGGCCGGCCUGCCUGCCAAAAAGCAAAUGGAUUUCCACCUGACAAAUCUUCGGGAUCCAAGAAGCAGAAACAAUAUCAGCGGAUUCGGAAGGAGAAGCCUCAACAACACAACUUCACCCACCGCCUCCUGGCUGCAGCUCUGAAGAGCCACAGCGGGAACAUAUCUUGCAUGGACUUUAGCAGCAAUGGCAAAUACCUGGCUACCUGUGCAGAUGAUCGCACCAUCCGCAUCUGGAGCACCAAGGACUUCCUACAGCGAGAGCACCGCAGCAUGAGAGCCAACGUGGAGCUGGACCACGCCACCCUGGUGCGCUUCAGCCCUGACUGCAGAGCCUUCAUCGUCUGGCUGGCCAACGGGGACACCCUCCGUGUCUUCAAGAUGACCAAGAGGGAGGAUGGGGGCUACACCUUCACAGCCACCCCAGAGGACUUCCCUAAAAAGCACAAGGCGCCUGUCAUCGACAUUGGCAUUGCUAACACAGGGAAGUUUAUCAUGACUGCCUCCAGUGACACCACUGUCCUCAUCUGGAGCCUGAAGGGUCAAGUGCUGUCUACCAUCAACACCAACCAGAUGAACAACACACACGCUGCUGUAUCUCCCUGUGGCAGGCUGGAGUGCAAUGGCAGGAUCUUGGCUCACCACAACCUCCAUCUCCCGGGUUCAAGCGAUUCUCCUGCCUCAGCCUCCCCCAAGUAGCUGGGAUUACAGGCAUGCACCACCAUACCCAGCUAAUUUUUUAUUUUUAGUAGAGGUGAGGUUUCUCCAUGUUGGUCAGGCUGGUCUCAAACUGUCGACCUCAGGUGAGCUGCCCGCCUGGGCCUCCCAAAGUGCUGGGAUUACAGGUAUGAGCCACCACACCUGGCCUUUUUUUUUUUAAUUCUGAGACAGUCUCACUCUGUUGCCCAGGCUGGAGUGCAGUGGUGCAAUCUCAAUCUCAGCUCACUGCAACCUCCACCUACCAGGUUCAAGUGAUUCUCCCACCUCAGCCUUCCCAGUAGGUGGGACUACAGGCAUGCGCCACCACGCCUGGCUAAUUUUGUAUUUUUAGUAGAGAUGA